Molecule: ribosomal RNA, 382 nt
Filed under: uncultured eukaryote
Lineage: Eukaryota
Description: partial 18S ribosomal RNA
Rfam family: Eukaryotic small subunit ribosomal RNA
Source: RNAcentral
CAAUAGCGUAUAUUAAAGUUGUUGCAGUUAAAAAGCUCGUAGUUGGAUUUCUGGUUGAAGCGACCGGUCGGGCGUUGAUUCGUCUGCACUGGAGUCGGUUUUGGCCAUCCUCUAGGAAAGUGCGUCUGGUAUUAAGUUAUCGGGCGUAUGAUCCUGGUCUUUUACUGUGAAAAAAUUAGAGUGUUUAAAGCAGGCCUUCGCCUUGAAUACAUUAGCAUGUAAUAAUAAGAUAGGACUUUGGUCUAUUUUGUUGGUUUGCAGACCGAAGUAAUGAUUAAUAGGGAUAGUUGGGGGUAUUUAUAUUCCGAUGUCAGAGGUGAAAUUCUUAGAUUUUCGGAAGAUAAACUUAUGCGAAAGCAUUUACCAAGGAUGUUUUCAUUAA